GGUCAUGAGUGUCAGCGACAAGCCCUGGCUCGCUGACCGGCAACCCUCGCAUCGCGGUGGGGUGCCCCAGGUGACGACCGGACCGGAUGACUUCGGUAAGCGCGAGGG
Molecule: non-coding RNA, 108 nt
Filed under: Streptomyces sp.
Lineage: Bacteria; Bacillati; Actinomycetota; Actinomycetes; Kitasatosporales; Streptomycetaceae
Also listed under: 1 other name
Description: SAM-IV sequence
Rfam family: SAM (S-adenosyl methionine) riboswitch aptamer
About the family: SAM-IV is a mRNA element that regulates gene expression via direct sensing of S-adenosylmethionine (SAM or AdoMet). SAM-IV riboswitches share conserved nucleotide positions with the previously described SAM-I riboswitches sequence analysis and molecular recognition experiments suggest that SAM-I and SAM-IV riboswitches share similar ligand binding sites, but have different scaffolds.
Source: RNAcentral